Molecule: ribosomal RNA, 485 nt
Filed under: uncultured bacterium
Lineage: Bacteria
Description: bacterial SSU rRNA
Rfam family: Bacterial small subunit ribosomal RNA
Source: RNAcentral
GAUGAACGCUAGCGGGAGGCUUAACACAUGCAAGUCGAGGGGCAUCACGGGUAGCAAUACCUGGUGGCGACCGGCAGACGGGUGAGUAACGCGUAUGUAACCUACCCUGUACAGGGGGAUAACCCGGAGAAAUUCGGACUAAUAUCCCAUAAUGAUAUCUGGGGGCAUCUUCGGAUAUUUAAAGUUCCGGCGGUACAGGAUGGGCAUGCGUAACAUUAGCUAGUUGGUAAGGUAACGGCUUACCAAGGCUUUGAUGUUUAGGGGUCCUGAGAGGGUGGUCCCCCACACUGGUACUGAGACACGGACCAGACUCCUACGGGAGGCAGCAGUGAGGAAUAUUGGUCAAUGGGCGCAAGCCUGAACCAGCCAUCCCGCGUGCAGGAAGACGGCCCUAUGGGUUGUAAACUGCUUUUCCAGGGAGAGAAACUUGCGUACGCGUUGCGCAAUUGACGGUACCCUGGGAAUAAGCAUCGGCCAACUCCGUG